RNAcentral lists this ribosomal RNA (274 nucleotides) under uncultured bacterium. Its description in RNAcentral is "partial 16S ribosomal RNA". It matches the Rfam family "Bacterial small subunit ribosomal RNA", at positions 523 to 796 of the family's 1533-position model. The record is from RNAcentral.
AUACAGAGGGUGCAAGCGUUGUUCGGAAUCAUUGGGCGUAAAGCGCGCGUAGGCGGUUUUUCAAGUCGGAUGUGAAAGCCCGGGGCUCAACCCCGGAAGUGCAUCCGAAACUGAAUGACUUGAGUCCCGGAGAGGGUGGCGGAAUUCCUGGUGUAGAGGUGAAAUUCGUAGAUAUCAGGAGGAACACCCGUGGCGAAGGCGGCCACCUGGACGGUGACUGACGCUGAGGCGCGAAAGCGUGGGGAGCAAACAGGAUUAGAUACCCCAGUAGUCC